Acanthosepion pharaonis is the source of this 109-nucleotide non-coding RNA. NCBI's taxonomy places the organism in Eukaryota, Metazoa, Mollusca, Cephalopoda, Sepiida, Sepiidae. The record is from the annotation of a GenBank genome assembly.
UUACGGGCAUAUCACGUUGAAACGCUGAUCUCCGUACGAUCAAAAAAGUUAAGCAUCAUAGUGCCUGAUCAGUACCUAGAUGGGUGAGCGCUUGGGAAUACCAGGUGCU